GCAAGUCGAGCGAGAAAGGUCUUCGGACUGAGUACAGCGGCGGACGGGUGAGUAACGCGUAGGAAUCUACCUGGUAGUGGGGGACAACAUGGGGAAACCCAUGCUAAUACCGCAUACGCCCUAUGGGGGAAAGCGGGGGACCUUCGGGCCUCGCGCUAUCAGAUGAGCCUGCGUAGGAUUAGCUUGUUGGUGAGGUAAAGGCUCACCAAGGCGACGAUCAAUAGCCGACCUGAGAGGGUGAUC
This 243-nucleotide ribosomal RNA is filed under the name uncultured bacterium. RNAcentral describes it as "partial 16S ribosomal RNA". It matches the Rfam family "Bacterial small subunit ribosomal RNA", at positions 57 to 305 of the family's 1533-position model. The record is from RNAcentral.